Molecule: ribosomal RNA, 515 nt
Filed under: uncultured bacterium
Lineage: Bacteria
Description: partial 16S ribosomal RNA
Rfam family: Bacterial small subunit ribosomal RNA
Source: RNAcentral
GACGAACGCUGGCGGCGUGCUUAACACAUGCAAGUCGAACGAAUGGAUUAAGAGCUUGCUCUUAUGAAGUUAGCGGCGGACGGGUGAGUAACACGUAGGUAACCUGCCCAUAAGACUGGGAUAACUCCGGGAAACCGGGGCUAAUACCGGAUAACAUUUUGAACCGCAUGGUUCGAAAUUGAAAGGCGGCUUCGGCUGUCACUUAUGGAUGGACCUGCGUCGCAUUAGCUAGUUGGUGAGGUAACGGCUCACCAAGGCAACGAUGCGUCGCAGACCUGAGAGGGUGAUCGGCCACACUGGGACUGAGACACGGCCCAGACUCCUACGGGAGGCAGCAGUAGGGAAUCUUCCGCAAUGGACGAAAGUCUGACGGAGCAACGCCGCGUGAGUGAUGAAGGCUUUCGGGUCGUAAAACUCUGUUGUUAGGGAAGAACAAGUGCUAGUUGAAUAAGCUGGCACCUUGACGGUACCUAACCAGAAAGCCACGGCUAACUACGUGCCAGCAGCCGCCGUAA